GUUCUCGUAGCUUAAUAAUAAAGCAUGACACUGAAGAUGUCAAGAUGGCUAACUACUAAUAACCCGAGAACA
This 72-nucleotide transfer RNA is filed under the name Ibidorhyncha struthersii. RNAcentral describes it as "tRNA-Phe". It matches the Rfam family "tRNA". From Rfam's summary of the family: Transfer RNA (tRNA) molecules are approximately 80 nucleotides in length. Their secondary structure includes four short double-helical elements and three loops (D, anti-codon, and T loops). The record is from RNAcentral. Lineage: Eukaryota; Metazoa; Chordata; Aves; Charadriiformes; Charadriidae.